CCCUUAGAUGUUCUGGGCCGCACACGCGCUACACUGAAGGAGGCAGCGUGUACUCCUGGAUCGAAAGAUUUGGGUAACCCGCGAAUCUCCUUCGUGCUAGGGAUUGAGGUUUGCAAUUAUCCUUCAUGAACGAGGAAUUCCCAGUAAGUGCAAGUCAUAAGCUUGCGCUGACUACGUCCCUGCCCUUUGUACACACCGCCCGUCGCUACUACCGAUUGAAUGAUUUAGUGAAUUGCAGGGACUUUGCUGGCCUCUUGGUUUCCUUGAGCCGGCAUCGGAACUGCCGUAAACUUGACCAUUUAGAGGAAGUAAAAGUCGUAACA
RNAcentral lists this ribosomal RNA (323 nucleotides) under uncultured eukaryote. RNAcentral describes it as "partial 18S ribosomal RNA". It matches the Rfam family "Eukaryotic small subunit ribosomal RNA", at positions 1470 to 1796 of the family's 1831-position model. The record is from RNAcentral.